This 458-nucleotide ribosomal RNA is filed under the name uncultured bacterium. Its description in RNAcentral is "partial 16S ribosomal RNA". It matches the Rfam family "Bacterial small subunit ribosomal RNA", at positions 29 to 507 of the family's 1533-position model. The record is from RNAcentral.
AACGAACGCUGGCGGCAUGCCUAACACAUGCAAGUCGAACGAGACCUUCGGGUCUAGUGGCGCACGGGUGCGUAACGCGUGGGAACCUGCCCUUAGGUUCGGAAUAACUCCCCGAAAGGGGUGCUAAUACCGGAUAAUGUCUUCGGACCAACGAUUUAUCGCCUUUGGAUGGGCCCGCGUUGGAUUAGCUAGUUGGGAGGGUAAAAGCCUACCAAGGCGACGAUCCGUAACUGGUCUGAGAGGAUGAUCAGCCACACUGGAACUGAGACACGGCCCAGACACCGGCGGGAGGCAGCAGUGGGGAAUAUUGGGGGAGGGGCGAAAGCGGGAUCCAGGCAAGCCGCGUGUGGGAAGAAGGACUAAGGAUUGGAAAGCAAUUUAAGUUGUGAGGAAGGGCAGUAAGUUAAUACCUGGCUGUAAUGACGGUACCAACAGAAUAAGCACCGGCUAACUUCGUG